UUCGGCCGGACGAGACACAGGUGCUGCAUGGCUGUCGUCAGCUCGUGUCGUGAGAUGUUGGGUUAAGUCCCGCUACGAGCGCAACCCUCACUUUUAGUUGCCAUCAUUAAGUUGGGCACUCUGAAAGAACUGCCAGUGAUAAGCUGGAGGAAGGUGGGGAUGACGUCAAGUCCUCAUGGCCCUUACGUGUUGGGCUACACACGUGCUACAAUGGCAUCUACAACAGGAAGCAAAACGGCAACAUUAAGCAAAUCCCGAAAAGAUGCCUCAGUUCGGAUUGCACUCUGCAACUCGAGUGCAUGAAGCUGGAAUUACUAGUAAUCGUGGAUCAGCGUGCCACGGUGAAUACGUUCCCGGGUCUUGUACACACCGCCCGUCACACCAUGGGAGUUGGUUCUACCUUAAGGCAAGGUUUUAAACCCUUGACCACGGUAUAGUCAGCGACUGGGGUGAAGUCGUAACAAGGUAGCCGUAGGGGAACCUGCGGCUGGAUUACCUCCUU
RNAcentral lists this ribosomal RNA (502 nucleotides) under uncultured sea ice bacterium. RNAcentral's name for it is "bacterial SSU rRNA". It matches the Rfam family "Bacterial small subunit ribosomal RNA", at positions 1014 to 1532 of the family's 1533-position model. The record is from RNAcentral.